ACGUGAGGGACACGUGAGGGGCAGGUUGGGACAGGGCUGGGGCAGGUGAGGGACACGUGGGGCAGGUUUGGGGCAGGUUUGGGAUGGGUCCCUGUGGGUUUGGGACGCAUGGGCAGGUUUGGGACAGGUUUGGGACAGAUUUGGGGCAGGUUUGGGACAGAUUUGGGGCAGGUUUGGGACGGAUCCCUGCGGGUUUGGGAUACCUGGGCAGGUUUGGGGCAGGUUUGGGACAGGUCCCUGCGGGUUUGGGAUACCUGGGCGGGUUUGGGGCAGGUUGGGGCAGGUUUGGGACACCUGGGCAGGUUUGGGGCAGGUUUGGGAUACCUGGGCAGGUUUGGGGCAGGUUUGGGACAGGUCCCUGCGGGUUUGGGACACGUGGGGCAGGUUUGGGGCAGGUUUGGG
Molecule: long non-coding RNA, 402 nt
Organism: Corvus hawaiiensis (hawaiian crow)
Lineage: Eukaryota; Metazoa; Chordata; Aves; Passeriformes; Corvidae
Exons: 3
Source: RefSeq, a predicted model, not a curated record